This 494-nucleotide ribosomal RNA is filed under the name uncultured bacterium. RNAcentral's name for it is "partial 16S ribosomal RNA". It matches the Rfam family "Bacterial small subunit ribosomal RNA", at positions 28 to 507 of the family's 1533-position model. The record is from RNAcentral.
GACGAGCGCUGGCGGCAUGCCUAAUACAUGCAAGUCGAACGAUGAUAUCACUGCUUGCAGUGAUUGAUUAGUGGCGAACGGGUGAGUAACACGUGAGGAACUUGCCCAUGAGCGGGGGACAACAUUCGGAAACGGAUGCUAAUACCCCAUAGGUGGAUUGGUCGCAUGACGAAUUCAUUAAAGGUGGCUCUGCUACCACUCAUGGAUAGCCUCGCGGCGUAUUAGCUAGUUGGUAAGGUAAUGGCUUACCAAGGCAGUGAUACGUAGCCGACUUGAGAGGGUGAUCGGCCACACUGGGACUGAGACACGGCCCAGACUCCUACGGGAGGCAGCAGUAGGGAAUCUUCCACAGUGGGUGCAAACCUGAUGGAGCAAUGCCGCGUGAGUGAAGAAGGUCUUCGGAUCGUAAAGCUCUGUCGUUAGAGAAGAACACGUGCUAGGUAACUACUAGCGCCUUGACGGUAUCUAACCAGAAAGUCACGGCUAACUACGUG